This 484-nucleotide ribosomal RNA is filed under the name Enterobacter sp. enrichment culture clone EST566_EN13. Its description in RNAcentral is "bacterial SSU rRNA". It matches the Rfam family "Bacterial small subunit ribosomal RNA", at positions 75 to 557 of the family's 1533-position model. Lineage: Bacteria; Pseudomonadati; Pseudomonadota; Gammaproteobacteria; Enterobacterales; Enterobacteriaceae. The record is from RNAcentral.
CUUGCUCUCGGGUGACGAGUGGCGGACGGGUGAGUAAUGUCUGGGAAACUGCCUGAUGGAGGGGGAUAACUACUGGAAACGGUAGCUAAUACCGCAUAACGUCGCAAGACCAAAGAGGGGGACCUUCGGGCCUCUUGCCAUCAGAUGUGCCCAGAUGGGAUUAGCUAGUAGGUGGGGUAACGGCUCACCUAGGCGACGAUCCCUAGCUGGUCUGAGAGGAUGACCAGCCACACUGGAACUGAGACACGGUCCAGACUCCUACGGGAGGCAGCAGUGGGGAAUAUUGCACAAUGGGCGCAAGCCUGAUGCAGCCAUGCCGCGUGUAUGAAGAAGGCCUUCGGGUUGUAAAGUACUUUCAGCGAGGAGGAAGGCAUUAAGGUUAAUAACCUUGGUGAUUGACGUUACUCGCAGAAGAAGCACCGGCUAACUCCGUGCCAGCAGCCGCGGUAAUACGGAGGGUGCAAGCGUUAAUCGGAAUUACUGG